This 63-nucleotide transfer RNA is filed under the name Stenchaetothrips biformis. RNAcentral's name for it is "tRNA-Tyr". The record is from RNAcentral. Lineage: Eukaryota; Metazoa; Arthropoda; Insecta; Thysanoptera; Thripidae.
AGUAAAAUUAUCUAAAUAAGAUGAUAAACUGUAAAUUUAUUUAUGGACUUAGUCCUUUUACUA